This 1847-nucleotide long non-coding RNA is filed under the name Chlamydomonas reinhardtii. Its description in RNAcentral is "long non-coding RNA (CREI_LNC001136)". The record is from RNAcentral. Lineage: Eukaryota; Viridiplantae; Chlorophyta; Chlorophyceae; Chlamydomonadales; Chlamydomonadaceae.
AGGCGCCGGGCUAGGGGGUGGGCUGGGUGGCGCCGGGCUGGGAGGCCGCGGACUGGGCGGCUGCGGCGAUGGCGGCGGGCUGGAGCUCCGCGGGGCCGGGCUGGGCGGAGUCAAGGUCGGCGGUGCCGGGCUCGGAGGUGGGUUGGGUGGCGCCGGGCUGGGAGGCCGCGGGCUAGGCGGCGCGGGGCUAGGCGCCGGGCUAGGCGGCACCGGGCUGGGAGGCGAAGGGCUAGGCGGACGGGGGCUGGAAGGCCGAGGGCUAGGCGGCGCAGGGUUAGGUGGCGCAGGGCUUGGCGGACGGGUGGCGCACUUGAAGUCCGGCGAGUCGGGGUGCGGCACGGUGAAGGUCCACAGACUGGAAAGGGACGCAAAGGGCAAACACACGCAAACAGAGUCAGAUAGACGCUUACAGCAGCAUAGUCACACGUGCGCACAACAUGGCAAGGUAAGGCCGCAAGUCGGGACCGCAGGACAUCAUGCGCUCACCACUCGUUCGGCUGGUCGCCAAUGCCGCAGCCCGCGAGCUGGCCGUUCACCGUGCGUGGGCCCUGGCACGUCGCAGCCAGGCCGUUCAGCGUCACGCUCAGCGGCGGCGCGCCGGCGGCAAGGCACGAGCCGCUGCCGUCCUUGACGGUGAAAUACACAGUGGCGGGGGCCAGCGUAGACGUGCUGAAGCGAACGUACUGGCAGUAGCGCUCUGCAGGCGGACGCGUAUGACAAACGUUCACUCAGGUUGCAUGCAGCAAGCCAGUCACGCACAGGGCGAUCCGUCACUAGGAGCCAUGGCAUAGCAGGUUUUCAGAAGCUUCCCUGCGCUCCAGCCGCAUACCGUAGCUGAGGAGCGAACCGGCAGACCCUUCAAGGCAGCAGAUUCUCCAUGCACACACUUACGUGACAGGCCGCCCCACCAAGUGUCGCGCUUGGCCGUGGCGCCGGUCACCGCAGAUGCGCCGGCGGACGGGAUGACGCCGUAGAACUGGUCGCCGCUGCAGAUGUGGCUGACACUGUCGGCGGGGUAGGCCUUGGGGCAGUUGCGGCUGUUGUCCCAGUACAGACACACCUGGCAGUCCUGCGCCGUGGUGCCGUUGGCAAGCGUCACCAUGCUGCACGCGUCACUGUAGUACACCGACAUGCAUGACGCCUGGUCCACGCACGUGUCCAGCGGGCCCUUGCUGCCGGGCGUGACUGCAGUGAAGUUAGUGGGGUCGGAGAAAACGCAGCCCGACGGGGGCUGCCCCUGAACCAGCGGGUUGGGCGGCGGCGCCGGGCUCGGCGGCGAGGGGCUGGGCGGCGAGGGGCUGGGCGGCCGCGGGCUGGGCGGCGGGCUGGGUGGGGCAGGGCUCGGAGGCGCCGGGCUAGGAGGCGCCGGGCUAGGGGGUGGGCUGGGUGGCGCCGGGCUGGGAGGCCGCGGACUGGGCGGCUGCGGCGAUGGCGGCGGGCUGGAGCUCCGCGGGGCCGGGCUGGGCGGAGUCAAGGUCGGCGGUGCCGGGCUCGGAGGUGGGUUGGGUGGCGCCGGGCUGGGAGGCCGCGGGCUAGGCGGCGCGGGGCUAGGCGCCGGGCUAGGCGGCACCGGGCUGGGAGGCGAAGGGCUAGGCGGACGGGGGCUGGAAGGCCGAGGGCUAGGCGGUGCAGGGAUAGGUGGCGCAGGGCUGGGCGGACGGGUGGCGCACUUGAAGUCCGGCGAGUCGGGGUGCGGCACGGUGAAGGUCCACAGACUGGAAAGGGACGCAAAGGGCAAACACACGCAAACAGAGUCAGAUAGACGCUUACAGCAGCAUAGUCACACGUGCGCACAACAUGGCAAGGUAAGGCCGCAAGUCGGGACCGCAGGACAUCAUGCGCUCACC